This 315-nucleotide long non-coding RNA is filed under the name Gossypium raimondii (Peruvian cotton). Its description in RNAcentral is "long non-coding RNA (GRAI_LNC001519)". The record is from RNAcentral. Lineage: Eukaryota; Viridiplantae; Streptophyta; Magnoliopsida; Malvales; Malvaceae.
CAUAUACUGUUUUGCUUUCUUUCCUUGUUGUGCAGAUGAAGAUCGGGACUGGGAUUCGGGGCUGCGGCGCUUGAGGAUUUCCCUAGAACCCCUAGGGUUUCUGACUAUCGUUUUUGGCAUUUGGGCCACAUAUAAUUGGGCCACUGUUCUUUAACCGAAAUUGGGUUUGGGGUUUGGGCUCUCUUUGUUGUAAUUGAACUGUUUUAUUUGGGCCUCUGUUGUAUUUUAGAUUUGGGCCAUUUAGGCCAAUUGUAAUUUGGGCCCUUUUAAGCCCGGGCAAAAAUCUGGCAUGUACAUAUUGCAUAAGAAAAAAUG